This 440-nucleotide ribosomal RNA is filed under the name uncultured bacterium. RNAcentral's name for it is "partial 16S ribosomal RNA". It matches the Rfam family "Bacterial small subunit ribosomal RNA", at positions 338 to 795 of the family's 1533-position model. The record is from RNAcentral.
CCUACGGGGGGCAGCAGUGAGGAAUAUUGGGCAAUGGGGGCAACCCUGACCCAGCAACGCCGCGUGAGUGAAGAAGGUCUUCGGAUUGUAAAGCUCUUUCGGACGUGACGAUGAUGACGGUAGCGUCCAAAGAAGCACCGGCAAACUUCGUGCCAGCAGCCGCGGUAAUACGAAGGGUGCGGGCGUGGUUCGGAAUUACUGGGCGUAAAGGGAGUGUAGGCGGAUAUGUAAGAUAGCGGUGAAAGGCCGGGGCUCAACCCGGGAACUGCCAUUAUGACUAUGUAUCUAGAGUACUGGAGAGGAUAGCGGAAGUCCCAGUGUAGAGGGGAAAUUCGUAGAUAGUGGGUAGAACACCGGUGGCGAAGGCGGCUAUCUGGCCAUUUACUGACGCUGUGGCUCGAAAGCGUGGGGAUCAAACAGGAUUAGAUACCCUAGUAGUC